This is a long non-coding RNA of Raphanus sativus (radish), 217 nucleotides long. RefSeq lists it as uncharacterized. The record is from RefSeq and is a predicted model, not a curated record. NCBI's taxonomy places the organism in Eukaryota, Viridiplantae, Streptophyta, Magnoliopsida, Brassicales, Brassicaceae. The transcript is spliced from 3 exons.
CCACUUGGGUUUUAGGUGAAUGAAGAAUAUCAGGUCGUAAAUGUGUCUCUCAAGAAUGAGACAAUGAUCACUGAGAUUAAUGAGGACGACCUUAACGCAAGGAAUGAAACAUACUUUUUCUCUACAAAGAAAUCUAGACGUAAGAGGCAGAAGAGUCAGGUAGGGAGUUCAAGGCAGGGGUUCAUCUUGGACUAGGCUGUGAGGUGCUAGAUAAAAC